Molecule: transfer RNA, 65 nt
Filed under: Brachionus rubens
Lineage: Eukaryota; Metazoa; Rotifera; Eurotatoria; Ploima; Brachionidae
Description: tRNA-Trp
Rfam family: tRNA
About the family: Transfer RNA (tRNA) molecules are approximately 80 nucleotides in length. Their secondary structure includes four short double-helical elements and three loops (D, anti-codon, and T loops). Further hydrogen bonds mediate the characteristic L-shaped molecular structure. tRNAs have two regions of fundamental functional importance: the anti-codon, which is responsible for specific mRNA codon recognition, and the 3' end, to which the tRNAs corresponding amino acid is attached (by aminoacyl-tRNA synthetases). tRNAs cope with the degeneracy of the genetic code in two manners: having more than one tRNA (with a specific anti-codon) for a particular amino acid; and 'wobble' base-pairing, i.e. permitting non-standard base-pairing at the 3rd anti-codon position.
Source: RNAcentral
AAAGAAUUAGUUUAUUUAAAACGUUAGUCUUCAAAACUAAAAAUAUUUGAUACAAGUAUUCUUUG